GUGAAUCAUCAAAUUUUUGAACGCAUAUUGCACUCUCUGGUAUUCCGGAGAGCAUGCCUAUUUGAGGGUCAUUUGAAAUAAUAUAAAUUCCAAGAUUUCUCGGAAUUUAAAAUGGGUUUUCAUUUUUUUGUGUUGGCUUAAAAUCAAGACCAACCUCAUUUUCUUGGUUUCCGUGUUACUUUAGUUAACCU
This 191-nucleotide unclassified non-coding RNA is filed under the name Ambisporaceae sp. RNAcentral describes it as "partial contains 5.8S ribosomal RNA and internal transcribed spacer 2". The stretch from base 1 to 71 matches the Rfam family "5.8S ribosomal RNA", at positions 84 to 154 of the family's 154-position model. The record is from RNAcentral. Lineage: Eukaryota; Fungi; Glomeromycota; Glomeromycetes; Archaeosporales; Ambisporaceae.